GGAAAGGCGCGCGAUACAGGGUGACAGCCCCGUACACAAAAAUGCACAUGCUGUGAGCUCGAUGAGUAGGGCGGGACACGUGGUAUCCUGUCUGAAUAUGGGGGGACCAUCCUCCAAGGCUAAAUACUCCUGACUGACCGAUAGUGAACCAGUACCGUGAGGGAAAGGCGAAAAGAACCCCGGCGAGGGGAGUGAAAAAGAACCUGAAACCGUGUACGUACAAGCAGUGGGAGCACAGAGCAAUCUGUGUGACUGCGUACCUUUUGUAUAAUGGGUCAGCGACUUAUAUUCUGUAGCAAGGUUAACCGAAUAGGGGAGCCGAAGGGAAACCGAGUCUUAACUGGGCGUUAAGUUGCAGGGUAUAGACCCGAAACCCGGUGAUCUAGCCAUGGGCAGGUUGAAGGUUGGGUAACACUAACUGGAGGACCGAACCGACUAAUGUUGAAAAAUUAGCGGAUGACUUGUGGCUGGGGGUGAAAGGCCAAUCAAACCGGGAGAUAGCUGGUUCUCCCCGAAAGCUAUUUAGGUAG
Molecule: ribosomal RNA, 530 nt
Filed under: Escherichia coli
Lineage: Bacteria; Pseudomonadati; Pseudomonadota; Gammaproteobacteria; Enterobacterales; Enterobacteriaceae
Description: partial 23S ribosomal RNA
Rfam family: Bacterial large subunit ribosomal RNA
Source: RNAcentral